UACAGAGGGUGCAAGCGUUAAUCGGAAUUACUGGGCGUAAAGCGUGCGCAGACGGUUGCGUAAGUCAGAUGUGAAAGCCCCGGGCUCAACCUGGGAACUGCAUUUGGGACUGCAAGGCUGGAGUACGGCAGAGGGAGGUGGAAUUCCACGUGUAGCAGUGAAAUGCGUAGAGAUGUGGAGGAACACCGAUGGCGAAGGCAGGUCUCUGGGCCGCAACUGACGCUGAGGAGCGAAAGCAUGGGGAGCGAACAGG
This 253-nucleotide ribosomal RNA is filed under the name uncultured bacterium. RNAcentral's name for it is "partial 16S ribosomal RNA". It matches the Rfam family "Bacterial small subunit ribosomal RNA", at positions 524 to 776 of the family's 1533-position model. The record is from RNAcentral.